GACGAACGCUGGCGGCGUGCCUAAUACAUGCAAGUAGAACGCUGAAGGAGGAGCUUGCUUCUCUGGAUGAGUUGCGAACGGGUGAGUAACGCGUAGGUAACCUGCCUGGUAGCGGGGGAUAACUAUUGGAAACGAUAGCUAAUACCGCAUAAGAGUAGAUGUUGCAUGACAUUUGCUUAAAAGGUGCAAUUGCAUCACUACCAGAUGGCCCUGCGUUGUAUUAGCUAGUUGGUGGGGUAACGGCUCACCAAGGCGACGAUACAUAGCCGACCUGAGAGGGUGAUCGGCCACACUGGGACUGAGACACGGCCCAGACUCCUACGGGAGGCAGCAGUAGGGAAUCUUCGGCAAUGGACGGAAGUCUGACCGAGCAACGCCGCGUGAGUGAAGAAGGUUUUCGGAUCGUAAAGCUCUGUUGUAAGAGAAGAACGAGUGUGAGAGUGGAAAGUUCACACUGUGACGGUAUCUUACCAGAAAGGGACGGCUAACUACGUG
RNAcentral lists this ribosomal RNA (495 nucleotides) under uncultured bacterium. RNAcentral's name for it is "partial 16S ribosomal RNA". It matches the Rfam family "Bacterial small subunit ribosomal RNA", at positions 28 to 507 of the family's 1533-position model. The record is from RNAcentral.